GUCGCGAUGGUUCCAGCCGGGGAAGGGUGCCCUCGCUAAGGAGAUUGCGGCGGACCCGGAAGUGCUUGGCCACAGUCGCAGCCCCGGCGCCCCGAAGCGGGAAAAAGGCUGGGUGCCGCCGUCCCCCAGCUGCGCAACCCUAGGAACUCUCGGAUCAACCUGGAUGCCUUCCUUCACAAUAAUCUCAUGGAGGUAAUUUAAAGAAUCCCUUUUUUGGAGAGUCAGAGAGAAAAGCAAAAAAAAAGAGCAUGAGGAAUUUGAAGACUGAGAGAUGAGUUGUGUAGCACCAACAUUUUCUUUCUGCCUGACCUUCAUACCUGAUGAAUUAAAAGUACUGGUGACAGUAACAGUUUCCCUCUGUCUUUUGGCUGUCCACACUGAAGGAUGAUAGAGAUGAGUAGAAGAAGGCCAAACCCAGCCAUCACCAGAACAGGGCCUGCUGGCUUUGUGAGCAUUUCACAAUAUUGUCUGGAGCUGUUUGGCUUAUAGAAGAGGGAAGGUACUAUGAGAAAAAAAGAAGCAGUAAACUGCCCCUUCUACCAAUGUCUAAGAUGAACGGGAAAAAUGCAUAUAAAUGGAAUUUUUCUUUUACGUGAUGAUACAGUGUUUUGGUGUCCCAAAGAAAUAAAAUCCAGCACUGUCCAAUUGAAGUAUAAUGCAAGCCACAUUUCUAGUAGCCAUAUUUUAAAAAGUAACAAUAAAGUGUUGAAAUUUACCUUAAUACUGCCUUUUUUAACCAAAUAGGUCCAAAAUAUUAUUAUUUUGACAGGCAUUAUGAGUUGAGUUGUGUCCCCCACAAAAUUCAUGUUGAAGCCCUAACCAGCAGUACCACAGAAUGUGACUAUAUUGAGAGAUGGGGUUUUAAAAGAAGUAAUUAAGUUAAAAUGGUUUCAUUAGGGUGGGCCCUAAUCCAAUAUAACUGAUGUUCUUAUAACAAGAGGCAAUAUGGACAUGGGCACACACAGAGGGAAGAUCAUGUGAUGACAUGAGUCAAGAAGAGAGGCCUCAGAAGAAACCAACCUGACAACACCUGGAUCUCAGACUUCUACCUUCUAGAAUUGUGAAAAAUACAUUUAUCUUGCUUAACCCACCUAGUCUAUGAUAAUUUGUUAUGGCAUCUCUAGCAAACUAAUACAAUAUGUAAUCAAUUAAUGAAAAUAAAAUGUAUUAAUAAGAUAUUUUGCAUUCUUUUAUUGUAGAAAGUAUUGGAAAUCUAAUGUAUAUGUUACACUUACAGCACAUCACAACUGGAACUAGCCACAUUUCUUUCUCUUGCCAAAUAGUACUGGCUAGAACUUCCAGUACUAUGUUAAAUAAGAGUAGAGAAAGUGGACAUCAUUGUCUUGUUCUAGUUCUUAGAGAAGGAGCUUCCAGAUUUUCCUUGUUUAGUAUGAUGUUAGCUGUGGUUUUGUCAUAUAAGCCCUUUAUUGUGU
This 1433-nucleotide long non-coding RNA is filed under the name Homo sapiens (human). Its description in RNAcentral is "HSALNT0296541". Lineage: Eukaryota; Metazoa; Chordata; Mammalia; Primates; Hominidae. The record is from RNAcentral.